This 1725-nucleotide ribosomal RNA is filed under the name Triticum aestivum (bread wheat). RNAcentral describes it as "partial small subunit ribosomal RNA". The record is from RNAcentral. Lineage: Eukaryota; Viridiplantae; Streptophyta; Magnoliopsida; Poales; Poaceae.
CUAGAAAAAUGAUCGAGCCGGGGGGACGUAGGUUUAGGGACCAGGCGGGGACAAAGCUCGUACCACAGACGCAAACGUCGUUGCGCGUCUCCCGCCCGCCGAACGCCGUUGAUCGGAACGUCGCGAGCGGCAGCAACACAAGUACCUCCGGCCGGCGGCCGCUCUCUAGCCUCUCGACGCCGCGCCGCCUCGGACGCUACGCGCGCGCCUCUCUGUCUCUCGCUCUCUCUACAAAAACCGCCCGUUUCGAGAGGUGGUCUCGGACACCUGCUUACCUAUUCCAACCAGUCACCCAGCACCGCCCGCACGCACCGGUUGUCGUUUUCCCCCGCGCGAGCACACGCUGGGUGGGCUGGCUAGGGCGCGCGUGCAUCGGCCGGCGGCUAAGGGUGGAGGAAGGAACGCCUAUUCGGAGACGGCGGCGGCCGGAUCGCCGUGUCGGGUGCUACCGGUGAGUCUCUCGUCGGUGCCGCCGCACCUGGUUGCUCCUCCUGUUCCGCAAGCUCUUGCGCCACCGUAGGCCACGUGGCGGCGGCGACCUGCCGCACGGCCUCCUCCUGACCAAGCGCCGCGAGCGCCGCUCGCACGGCCGCGCCAGCUGCCUCCUCCACGCCGCGGUGAUGCUCCGGGACCACCUCCUGCAGCCGCGCUAGCUGCGGCCGGCGCAGGGGGAGGGCGCGAUGCGGCCCCUCCUGAGGUGGGGACGGCGGCGUCGCCGCGGAUCGUUCCUGGCCGCGCUCCUAGCCUUCUCGAAGCUGAGGCUGAGGCCGUUCCCGACGAGGUUCCGGCUCGUCCUCGCCGCGUUCCCGUAGGGCACCUGCCUCCUCCUCGUGUCCGACAAGAACGACCCCGACCUCUUCAAGCCGUUCCCGCUGACCGCCUCGUAGAGCGCGUUGAAGCAGUAGAGGGCCUGCGGGUGCGUCCACCGGUCGGUGCGCGUCUUCAUGAAGUAGGCGGAGUUGAGGUACUUGGCCCUGGCGGCGGCGAGGUCGUAGGUGCUGUAGUGGUCGUAGUUGUUGCGGCGGGUCCGGCACGGCGGGUAGUGGCCGGUCCGGGGGCGGCGCGAUCCCCCCGGCGGGCCCCCGUACUACUUCGUAGGGCCCUACCAGCCGUACAUGCCUCCCCGCGGGUACCCGGUGGGCCAGCGCCCGGUGUACCAGGGGCGGCGGCAGCCGUGCGGCCAGUACAAGGGCGGCCCCGGCCCGGUGGGCGGGAUGCGGUACGGGCAGCCGAUGGGCCGCGGCGUAGUCACUCGUACGGUACGAACGAGACCAAGCACGCGCGCGCCCCGUGCGGCCGUACGUACAGUCCGCGGAGCUACUUGGCGUGUUCGUAAAGAAGGAACAAGAAAGAACUAACUAAGUAAAACGCAGCGGCAGGCAAGGAGUAGGAGUAGACUAACGUCCCUACCCGCCGCUUAUUCAUUCAUAAACGACUGACAACGUUCACGAUCGAAUAUGAGGAUAUACUAGUGUCUGGGCCCUUUCCAACUCUCUCCAUUUACAUUAAUCGACGCCGGAGGGCUACACAUCGACAAGUACGAACAUCUCGACGCUGACCUCUGACUAAAGGUAAAUGGCCUACAUUUAAUGAACAUAGAAAUAUGAAACUGCACUUAUUUAAUGUGUACGUAGUUACGUACAGAGACGAGCAUAUUCGUACGUGGAAUUAAAGUGACAUUGUCGUUCCUUGCUUGAUUAGUAGAGACUUACGAAAGAAAACGGG